This 23-nucleotide microRNA is filed under the name Schmidtea mediterranea. RNAcentral describes it as "sme-miR-133a-5p". Its record names the gene sme-miR-133a-5p. The record is from miRBase by way of RNAcentral. Lineage: Eukaryota; Metazoa; Platyhelminthes; Tricladida; Dugesiidae.
CAGCUGUUGACGAAGUAUCAAAA